Long non-coding RNA from Oncorhynchus tshawytscha (Chinook salmon), 356 nucleotides. The record is from Ensembl. Lineage: Eukaryota; Metazoa; Chordata; Actinopteri; Salmoniformes; Salmonidae.
GGAGGGAGACCACUAGGCAGGGAGGGAGACCACUAGGCAGGCAAGGAGGAAGGUCACUAGGCAGGCAGGGAGGAAGGUCACUAGGCAGGCAGGGAGGAAGGUCACUAGGCAGGCAGGGAGGGACACCACUAGGCAGGCAAGGAGGAAGGUCACUAGGCAAGCAGGGAGGGACACCACUCGGCAGGCAGGGAGGAAGGUCAGUAGGCAGGAGUGGGGGACACCACUUGUCAGGGAGGGAGGAAGGUCACUAGGCAGGCAGGGAGGAAGGUCACUAGGCAGGCAAGGAGGAAGGUUACUAGGCAGGCAGGGCAGGGGGACACCACUAGUCAGGGAGGGAGGAAGGUCACUAGGCAGGC